UGCUCGCUUCCCUGUUUCCUCUGAGCUUCAUGGAGCAGGAACAUCCGGGCAGGUUGGACCCGGAGCGACGGUGGACUCACCUGACAGAAAGGAGAAAUGAUAAGAAGAUUCAAAAACUUACCAGCCGCCUCAUGUGACGCUCUGCAGGUAUUUGUACCCCCCCCCCAACCAGCCAGCAGCACAAAGGCUUUUAUGUCCCUCAGAGGAAUGAUGCGGUUUCAUGUUGAGGUUCAACGACGGCUCUCUGUCCCAGUCAGCUAUGACAGUGUGAGCAACACCAGGACCCUGAAACUGAAGCAGCUAAAUGGAAUCCAGCCAUCAUUCAUUUGCUCAUUUACUGUGGGGGCGUCCUGUUAGCCCCCCUUUUGUACCGAGGCUCAGUCCUUACUGCAGCAACCUGUCUCUCUCUCUCUCUCUCUCUCUCUCUCUCUCCUCACUUUCCUGUCUUUCUUCAGCUGUCACUAU
This is a long non-coding RNA of Dicentrarchus labrax (European seabass), 465 nucleotides long. RefSeq lists it as uncharacterized. The record is from RefSeq and is a predicted model, not a curated record. Lineage: Eukaryota; Metazoa; Chordata; Actinopteri; Moronidae. The transcript is spliced from 3 exons.